AGAGUUUGAUCCUGGCUCAGAUUGAACGCUAGCGGCAUGCUUUACGCAUGCAAGUCGAACGGCAGCGCGGGGCAACCUGGCCGCCAGUUUCGAACGGGUGAGUAAUACAUCGGAACGUGCCCUGUGAUGGGGGAUAACUACGCGAAAGCGUAGCUAAUACCGCAUACGACCUACGGGUGAAAGUGGGGGAUCGCAAGACCUCACGUCAUAGGAGCGGCCGAUGGCGGAUUAGCUAGUUGGUAAGGUAAAGGCUUACCAAGGCAACGAUCCGUAGCUGGUCUGAGAGGACGACCAGCCACACUGGGACUGAGACACGGCCCAGACUCCUACGGGAGGCAGCAGUGGGGAAUCUUGGACAAUGGGGGCAACCCUGAUCCAGCAAUGCCGCGUGUGGGAUGAAGGCCUUCGGGUUGUAAACCACUUUUGGCGGGGGCGAAAUAUCGAGUGCUAAUACCAUUCGGUGAUGACGGUACCCGCAGAAUAAGCACCGGCUAACUACGUGCCAGCAGCCGCGGUAAUACGUAGGGUGCAAGCGUUAAUCGGAAUUACUGGGCGUAAAGUGUGCGUUGGCGGUUAGGUAAGACAGAUGUGAAAUUCCCGGGCUCAUUCUGGGAACUGCAUUUGUGACUGCCUGAUUAGAGUGCGGUGAGGGGAGUGGAAUUCCGCGUGU
This 670-nucleotide ribosomal RNA is filed under the name uncultured bacterium. Its description in RNAcentral is "bacterial SSU rRNA". It matches the Rfam family "Bacterial small subunit ribosomal RNA", at positions 8 to 676 of the family's 1533-position model. The record is from RNAcentral.